Molecule: ribosomal RNA, 468 nt
Filed under: uncultured bacterium
Lineage: Bacteria
Description: partial 16S ribosomal RNA
Rfam family: Bacterial small subunit ribosomal RNA
Source: RNAcentral
GACGAACGCUGGCGGCGUGCCUAACACAUGCAAGUCGAACGGAAAGGCUCUUAUCUUGUUUGGUGCUCGAGUGGCGCACGGGUGCGUAACACGUGAGUAACCUGCCCGUGACAGGGGGAUAGCUUCCCGAAAGUGGGAUUAAUCCUCCAUAGCACCACGAGAAGGCUGGUGGGGAUGGUAAACUUUCGGCGGUUGGGGAUGGACUUGCGGUUGAUCAGCUUGUUGGUGGGGUAGUGGCUUACCAAGGCGUUGACGGUUAGCCGGCCUGAGAGGGUGACCGGCGACACUGGGCCUAAGAUACGGCCCAGACUCCUACGGGAGGCAGCGGUGGGGAAUAUUGCACUAUGGGCGGAAGGCUGAUGGAGCAACGCCGGGUUCGGGAUGACGGACUUCGGGUUGCCAACCGCUUUAGCAUGUGACGACGCGGGAGUGACGGUAAUAGGUAAAGAAGCACCGGCUAACUACGUG